AAGGACAUCUGUUCACAUCUUACCGGGCAGCAUUAGAUCCUUUUUAUAACUCUAAUACUGUCAGGUAAAGAUGUCGUCCGUGUCCUU
This 87-nucleotide microRNA precursor is filed under the name Drosophila erecta. RNAcentral's name for it is "microRNA der-mir-8 precursor". Its record names the gene der-mir-8. The stretch from base 11 to 78 matches the Rfam family "mir-8/mir-141/mir-200 microRNA precursor family". From Rfam's summary of the family: The bounds of the precursors are predicted based on conservation and base pairing and are not generally known. Lineage: Eukaryota; Metazoa; Arthropoda; Insecta; Diptera; Drosophilidae. RNAcentral also lists the same sequence under 3 other names. The record is from miRBase by way of RNAcentral.